Molecule: ribosomal RNA, 200 nt
Filed under: uncultured bacterium
Lineage: Bacteria
Description: partial 16S ribosomal RNA
Rfam family: Bacterial small subunit ribosomal RNA
Source: RNAcentral
AGAGUUUGAUCAUGGCUCAGGAUAAACGCUGGCGGCGUGCCUAACACAUGCAAGUCGAACGCUCUGCGCAAGCAGGGAGUGGCGGACGGGUGAGGAACACGUGGGUUAUCCACCCUUAGGUGAGGAAUACCGGCGAGAAAUCGCCGACAAUACCGCAUAUGCUCGUAAGAGCAAAGCUCGCAAGAGCGCCUGAGGAUGAG